CAGAAACAUGUCAAAGGGUCUAUAAAGACAUUACUGACCAUGAAAUGAGAAGAUGCAUAGGAGAUAGCUUCACCAAUCCCACACAAGAAUUGUUUGUGGUCACAGGCCGGUGCCAAAUUCAAGAUCAUAGAACAGAUACAGAUGGACAUCAUAUUAUAUUUUUGUUGUUCUGUCAACAUUAUUGUGCAUCUGCAUUAUACUUGUACCCUAGGCCUAUACUAUAAGUUAUUCUCUGGUUUAUUACAAUGUCAUAUUUAAAAUGUUUUAAUACCUGGAUAAUUUGAAGCCUAAUAAAAGUAUAAAUUAC
Long non-coding RNA from Bombina bombina (fire-bellied toad), 307 nucleotides. RefSeq lists it as uncharacterized. The transcript is spliced from 2 exons. The record is from RefSeq and is a predicted model, not a curated record. Lineage: Eukaryota; Metazoa; Chordata; Amphibia; Anura; Bombinatoridae.